Molecule: ribosomal RNA, 2904 nt
Filed under: Escherichia coli
Lineage: Bacteria; Pseudomonadati; Pseudomonadota; Gammaproteobacteria; Enterobacterales; Enterobacteriaceae
Description: 23S ribosomal RNA
Rfam family: Bacterial large subunit ribosomal RNA
Source: RNAcentral
GGUUAAGCGACUAAGCGUACACGGUGGAUGCCCUGGCAGUCAGAGGCGAUGAAGGACGUGCUAAUCUGCGAUAAGCGUCGGUAAGGUGAUAUGAACCGUUAUAACCGGCGAUUUCCGAAUGGGGAAACCCAGUGUGAUUCGUCACACUAUCAUUAACUGAAUCCAUAGGUUAAUGAGGCGAACCGGGGGAACUGAAACAUCUAAGUACCCCGAGGAAAAGAAAUCAACCGAGAUUCCCCCAGUAGCGGCGAGCGAACGGGGAGGAGCCCAGAGCCUGAAUCAGUGUGUGUGUUAGUGGAAGCGUCUGGAAAGGCGCGCGAUACAGGGUGACAGCCCCGUACACAAAAAUGCACAUGCUGUGAGCUCGAUGAGUAGGGCGGGACACGUGGUAUCCUGUCUGAAUAUGGGGGGACCAUCCUCCAAGGCUAAAUACUCCUGACUGACCGAUAGUGAACCAGUACCGUGAGGGAAAGGCGAAAAGAACCCCGGCGAGGGGAGUGAAAAAGAACCUGAAACCGUGUACGUACAAGCAGUGGGAGCACGCUUAGGCGUGUGACUGCGUACCUUUUGUAUAAUGGGUCAGCGACUUAUAUUCUGUAGCAAGGUUAACCGAAUAGGGGAGCCGAAGGGAAACCGAGUCUUAACUGGGCGUUAAGUUGCAGGGUAUAGACCCGAAACCCGGUGAUCUAGCCAUGGGCAGGUUGAAGGUUGGGUAACACUAACUGGAGGACCGAACCGACUAAUGUUGAAAAAUUAGCGGAUGACUUGUGGCUGGGGGUGAAAGGCCAAUCAAACCGGGAGAUAGCUGGUUCUCCCCGAAAGCUAUUUAGGUAGCGCCUCGUGAAUUCAUCUCCGGGGGUAGAGCACUGUUUCGGCAAGGGGGUCAUCCCGACUUACCAACCCGAUGCAAACUGCGAAUACCGGAGAAUGUUAUCACGGGAGACACACGGCGGGUGCUAACGUCCGUCGUGAAGAGGGAAACAACCCAGACCGCCAGCUAAGGUCCCAAAGUCAUGGUUAAGUGGGAAACGAUGUGGGAAGGCCCAGACAGCCAGGAUGUUGGCUUAGAAGCAGCCAUCAUUUAAAGAAAGCGUAAUAGCUCACUGGUCGAGUCGGCCUGCGCGGAAGAUGUAACGGGGCUAAACCAUGCACCGAAGCUGCGGCAGCGACGCUUAUGCGUUGUUGGGUAGGGGAGCGUUCUGUAAGCCUGUGAAGGUGUGCUGUGAGGCAUGCUGGAGGUAUCAGAAGUGCGAAUGCUGACAUAAGUAACGAUAAAGCGGGUGAAAAGCCCGCUCGCCGGAAGACCAAGGGUUCCUGUCCAACGUUAAUCGGGGCAGGGUGAGUCGACCCCUAAGGCGAGGCCGAAAGGCGUAGUCGAUGGGAAACAGGUUAAUAUUCCUGUACUUGGUGUUACUGCGAAGGGGGGACGGAGAAGGCUAUGUUGGCCGGGCGACGGUUGUCCCGGUUUAAGCGUGUAGGCUGGUUUUCCAGGCAAAUCCGGAAAAUCAAGGCUGAGGCGUGAUGACGAGGCACUACGGUGCUGAAGCAACAAAUGCCCUGCUUCCAGGAAAAGCCUCUAAGCAUCAGGUAACAUCAAAUCGUACCCCAAACCGACACAGGUGGUCAGGUAGAGAAUACCAAGGCGCUUGAGAGAACUCGGGUGAAGGAACUAGGCAAAAUGGUGCCGUAACUUCGGGAGAAGGCACGCUGAUAUGUAGGUGAAGUCCCUCGCGGAUGGAGCUGAAAUCAGUCGAAGAUACCAGCUGGCUGCAACUGUUUAUUAAAAACACAGCACUGUGCAAACACGAAAGUGGACGUAUACGGUGUGACGCCUGCCCGGUGCCGGAAGGUUAAUUGAUGGGGUCAGCGCAAGCGAAGCUCUUGAUCGAAGCCCCGGUAAACGGCGGCCGUAACUAUAACGGUCCUAAGGUAGCGAAAUUCCUUGUCGGGUAAGUUCCGACCUGCACGAAUGGCGUAAUGAUGGCCAGGCUGUCUCCACCCGAGACUCAGUGAAAUUGAACUCGCUGUGAAGAUGCAGUGUACCCGCGGCAAGACGGAAAGACCCCGUGAACCUUUACUAUAGCUUGACACUGAACAUUGAGCCUUGAUGUGUAGGAUAGGUGGGAGGCUUUGAAGUGUGGACGCCAGUCUGCAUGGAGCCGACCUUGAAAUACCACCCUUUAAUGUUUGAUGUUCUAACGUGGACCCGUAAUCCGGGUUGCGGACAGUGUCUGGUGGGUAGUUUGACUGGGGCGGUCUCCUCCUAAAGAGUAACGGAGGAGCACGAAGGUUGGCUAAUCCUGGUCGGACAUCAGGAGGUUAGUGCAAUGGCAUAAGCCAGCUUGACUGCGAGCGUGACGGCGCGAGCAGGUGCGAAAGCAGGUCAUAGUGAUCCGGUGGUUCUGAAUGGAAGGGCCAUCGCUCAACGGAUAAAAGGUACUCCGGGGAUAACAGGCUGAUACCGCCCAAGAGUUCAUAUCGACGGCGGUGUUUGGCACCUCGAUGUCGGCUCAUCACAUCCUGGGGCUGAAGUAGGUCCCAAGGGUAUGGCUGUUCGCCAUUUAAAGUGGUACGCGAGCUGGGUUUAGAACGUCGUGAGACAGUUCGGUCCCUAUCUGCCGUGGGCGCUGGAGAAUUGAGGGGGGCUGCUCCUAGUACGAGAGGACCGGAGUGGACGCAUCACUGGUGUUCGGGUUGUCAUGCCAAUGGCACUGCCCGGUAGCUAAAUGCGGAAGAGAUAAGUGCUGAAAGCAUCUAAGCACGAAACUUGCCCCGAGAUGAGUUCUCCCUGACUCCUUGAGAGUCCUGAAGGAACGUUGAAGACGACGACGUUGAUAGGCCGGGUGUGUAAGCGCAGCGAUGCGUUGAGCUAACCGGUACUAAUGAACCGUGAGGCUUAACCUU